Molecule: non-coding RNA, 301 nt
Organism: Cinara cedri
Lineage: Eukaryota; Metazoa; Arthropoda; Insecta; Hemiptera; Aphididae
Source: the annotation of a GenBank genome assembly
UAACCGGCCCAAAGUAGGAAUAGAACUUGGAGGAAAAAUGUUUGAAAUAAAACAAACUCCAACUUGAGUUUAUAAGUAAUUAAUAUUUUUCACACAAAAAAACUACAAGUCCAAUUAAUAAAUUUACAAAAAUAAUACAAGUCCAAAUAAUUCAAUUCACAAACAUCGAAAAAUAUUCUAAGUCCAAUUUAGUUUCACACACAAAAAUAGUUUGUAAAACAGAGUAACGUAAAGUUGCUCGCAUUUGAUUGUGAUGGAAUUGUCUGAUUAGAUGAUGUUUUGGGCAGUGUUAUAUAUGUUC